Long non-coding RNA from Rosa rugosa (rugosa rose), 447 nucleotides. RefSeq lists it as uncharacterized. Lineage: Eukaryota; Viridiplantae; Streptophyta; Magnoliopsida; Rosales; Rosaceae. The transcript is spliced from 2 exons. The record is from RefSeq and is a predicted model, not a curated record.
AUGUCAGAGUGGUAAUUCAUGAUUAAAACUGGUAUGUGAUUACAUUACUGCAGGUUGCUGAGGGGUAGAUUCCACUCGUGGUAGCUAAAGGAGAGGAGAUAGCACGUUAUAAAGGACUUGAUCCGACAGAGCGUUUACUAAUGUUAAAAGCACUCUGUGAACUCCGAGCCGAUGUAUUUACUCCUUUGUCAUUAUUUUUUCUGUUUCUUAAUGUCAAGUGGUGUACAUACCGGAUAUCCUAGCUUUAUGUUACCAUUUGUUUUGGUAUUUUGAUGAGCCUCCUGCUAGCUAGUUUUAGUUUUUGCUUUAGUUAUAGGCAUGGUUAAUGCAAUGUGGACGCGUUUAUGUUUUCCGGCUUUAUGCAGUUAUAGCCACUUAGGCAAUGUUAAUUCUUAUGUAAAUGUUGGGAUGAAUAUUGCUGAUGAAUGAAAUGGCUUUUGGAAUCAA